ACAUGCAGUCGAGCGAAUGGAUUGAGAGCUUGCUCUCAAGAAGUUAGCGGCGGACGGGUGAGUAACACGUGGGUAACCUGCCCAUAAGACUGGGAUAACUCCGGGAAACCGGGGCUAAUACCGGAUAACAUUUUGAACUGCAUGGUUCGAAAUUGAAAGGCGGCUUCGGCUGUCACUUAUGGAUGGACCCGCGUCGCAUUAGCUAGUUGGUGAGGUAACGGCUCACCAAGGCAACGAUGCGUAGCCGACCUGAGAGGGUGAUCGGCCACACUGGGACUGAGACACGGCCCAGACUCCUACGGGAGGCAGCAGUAGGGAAUCUUCCGCAAUGGACGAAAGUCUGACGGAGCAACGCCGCGUGAGUGAUGAAGGCUUUCGGGUCGUAAAACUCUGUUGUUAGGGAAGAACAAGUGCUAGUUGAAUAAGCUGGCACCUUGACGGUACCUAACCAGAAAGCCACGGCUAACUACGUGCCAGCAGCCGCGGUAAUACGUAGGUGGCAAGCGUUAUCCGGAAUUAUUGGGCGUAAAGCGCGCGCAGGUGGUUUCUUAAGUCUGAUGUGAAAGCCCACGGCUCAACCGUGGAGGGUCAUUGGAAACUGGGAGACUUGAGUGCAGAAGAGGAAAGUGGAAUUCCAUGUGUAGCGGUGAAAUGCGUAGAGAUAUGGAGGAACACCAGUGGCGAA
Molecule: ribosomal RNA, 685 nt
Filed under: unidentified microorganism
Description: bacterial SSU rRNA
Rfam family: Bacterial small subunit ribosomal RNA
Source: RNAcentral